GUGCUUGCUUCGGCAGCACAUAUACUAAAAUUGGAAUGAUACAGAGAAGAUUAGCAUGGCCCCUGUGCAAGGAUGACAUGCAAAUUCAUGAAGCGUUCCAUAUUUUU
RNAcentral lists this small nuclear RNA (107 nucleotides) under Physeter macrocephalus (sperm whale). Lineage: Eukaryota; Metazoa; Chordata; Mammalia; Artiodactyla; Physeteridae. The record is from RNAcentral.